RNAcentral lists this long non-coding RNA (393 nucleotides) under Anas platyrhynchos platyrhynchos (common mallard). RNAcentral's name for it is "lncRNA (ENSAPLG00000026729.1)". Lineage: Eukaryota; Metazoa; Chordata; Aves; Anseriformes; Anatidae. The record is from RNAcentral.
UUGCAAACUGUACCUCUUUGUGAACAGUUGAACAGUAUUAGACUUUUUCAGCAUUUUUUUUUCUUUUUUUUUUUUUGUAGAAGAGCAAGCAUUCAAGUAUUUUGGGAGUGCAGUAAUGGACAUGUGUGAAGAAAUGGAAUUACCAUAUUUGAACAUGGAUUCCAAGCAGCACAAGACAAGAAGGAAGGAAAAGAACUAAAGAACCAAAGGAACUUUUUCAAUGUGAACAGAAUCACAGAAAAGACUUGAUGAUGUCUGUGGGAUUUGGACCAGGUGAUUGAAAAGCAAAAUGGUUAUAAAGAAUCUAUGUGUCUAUUUUUUUUUUUUUUUUUAAUACAGUAUUUAUGUUUUAGACAUAUAUAAACCCGAGAAUUUGCUUGUACUGAAUACCUG